CCCCAGACUCCUACGGGAGGCAGCAGUGGGGAAUAUUGCACAAUGGGGGAAACCCUGAUGCAGCGACGCCGCGUGAGUGAAGAAGUAUUUCGGUAUGUAAAGCUCUAUCAGCAGGGAAGAAAAUGACGGUACCUGACUAAGAAGCCCCGGCUAACUACGUGCCAGCAGCCGCGGUAAUACGUAGGGGGCAAGCGUUAUCCGGAAUUACUGGGUGUAAAGGGAGCGUAGACGGCUGUGCAAGUCAGAAGUGAAAGCCCGGGGCUCAACCCCGGGACUGCUUUUGAAACUGCGUGGCUGGAGUGCAGGAGAGGUAAGCGGAAUUCCUGGUGUAGCGGUGAAAUGCGUAGAUAUCAGGAGGAACACCGGCGGCGAAGGCGGCCUGCUGGACCGAAACUGACGUUGAGGCUCGAAAGCGUGGUGAGCACACAGGAUUAGAUACCCGAGUA
This 446-nucleotide ribosomal RNA is filed under the name uncultured bacterium. Its description in RNAcentral is "bacterial SSU rRNA". It matches the Rfam family "Bacterial small subunit ribosomal RNA", at positions 329 to 792 of the family's 1533-position model. The record is from RNAcentral.